GGGGAGGGGGGGUGGGGGGGGCUCCAGACAGGUGGGGCGCGAUAGCGAUGAAUCUUCGCCUCUUCCUCAGAGACCCGCUCUCCGCCUCCCGCUCCAACGCCCGGAUGAUCUGAGCCGCGAGGGCACCGAGAGCCGGGGUCCCGGACACAGCCCGGUUCCUCCCCUCCUCUGCCCCCUCCCCUGCCCGACCUGGUCGGCAGCCGCCGUGGUGACCCCCUUCCCGCCCCCUCCCCGGCCGCCGUCGCCGCCGCCGCCUCGGCCGACCAGGGACCUGCCUGCCCGCGGCUGCUCCGGACCUAAAGGAUCAAGACAUAAUGGGAGCAUUUUUAGACAAGCCAAAGAUGGAAAAACAUAAUGCCCAGGGGCAGGGAAAUGGGUUGCGAUAUGGGCUAAGCAGCAUGCAAGGCUGGCGAGUUGAAAUGGAGGAUGCACAUACAGCUGUGAUUGGUUUGCCAAGUGGACUUGAAACAUGGUCAUUCUUUGCUGUAUAUGAUGGGCAUGCUGGUUCUCAGGUUGCCAAAUACUGCUGUGAGCAUUUGUUAGAUCACAUCACCAAUAACCAGGAUUUUAAAGGGUCUGCAGGAGCACCUUCUGUGGAAAAUGUAAAGAAUGGAAUCAGAACAGGUUUUCUGGAAAUUGAUGAACACAUGAGAGUUAUGUCAGAGAAGAAACAUGGUGCAGAUAGAAGUGGGUCAACAGCUGUGGGUGUCUUAAUUUCUCCUCAACAUACUUACUUCAUUAACUGUGGAGACUCAAGAGGUUUACUUUGUAGGAACAGGAAAGUUCACUUCUUUACACAAGAUCACAAACCAAGUAAUCCGCUGGAAAAAGAACGAAUUCAGAAUGCAGGUGGUUCUGUAAUGAUUCAGCGUGUGAAUGGCUCUCUGGCUGUAUCGAGGGCCCUUGGGGACUUUGAUUACAAAUGUGUCCAUGGAAAAGGUCCUACAGAGCAGCUUGUCUCACCAGAGCCUGAAGUCCAUGAUAUUGAAAGAUCUGAAGAAGAUGAUCAGUUCAUUAUCCUUGCAUGUGAUGGUAUUUGGGAUGUGAUGGGAAACGAAGAGCUCUGUGAUUUUGUAAGAUCCAGACUUGAAGUCACUGAUGACCUUGAGAAAGUUUGCAAUGAAGUAGUUGACACCUGUUUGUAUAAGGGAAGUCGAGACAACAUGAGUGUGAUAUUGAUCUGUUUUCCAAAUGCACCCAAAGUAUCGCCAGAAGCAGUGAAGAAGGAGGCAGAGUUGGACAAGUACCUGGAAAGCAGAGUAGAAGAAAUCAUAAAGAAGCAGGGGGAAGGCGUCCCUGACUUAGUCCAUGUGAUGCGCACAUUAGCAAGUGAGAACAUCCCCAGCCUCCCACCAGGGGGUGAAUUGGCAAGCAAGCGGAAUGUAAUUGAAGCCGUUUACAAUAGACUGAAUCCUUACAAAAAUGAUGACACUAGCUGUUCACUGCACCCAUUCUCUUACACACACCCCUGAUUGAUUGCUCUGAACUCUGCCUGCACCACAGUUCUAGUGAUUGAGGACAUAAUCAUGGACUCUACAUCAACUGAUGAUAUGUGGUAAAACUGCUCACCUAGCCAUGGAAUAUACCUUCACCUCCAAAGGAGAGUACAGCUCAUCUUCAUUGAACCUUUUAAACAUCCGUCAUCAACCUUAAAGAAGGGCAUAUGACUUGGGUGAGAGUGGUUACACCAGAGAACUUCAGCAGUACAACAGCUAGCCCAGAACUGAAUUUUUUUUUUUUUGUAAAUUUGAGACUUACGUAAACGUGAUUUCAAACCAUAAUUCAUGUUGUAAAUCAGACUCCAGCAAUUUUUGUUGUAUGAUUUUGUUUUUUGUAAAGUGUAAUUGUCCUUUGUAUAAAAUGCUCAUAUUUAAUUAUGAACCGCUUUAAAUCACUAUCAAAGUUGCAAGAAAUGUUUGGCUUGUUGUGUGACGCAACAGAUAUAUAGAUCUUUCAAGUCAUGUGUUUGAACUCGGGGUUGGGACAGGGAGAGCAGCAGCCAUGUCAGCUAGACGCUCAAAUGUGCACGUGAUUGUGGAGAAAAAUUCGAAAAUCUUACAAAGCCAAACAUCCAGAGAGUUAAUUGGAAACUAUCUUAAUGUUCUUGGCAGCGGGAUUGGCACUGUUGAUAAAGCUAGUCCUUUCAUUUAACUGUCUUUUAGGUUGUUCUCUACUUGUUGCCAUGAGUAUUGCAGGUUAUACAGUAUAUUCACCAAAAUAUCAGUCUUGGGGCUAAAAUGCCUUGAUUCUUUGCACCUCUUUUACAAGUCCUUACAUUUAAUUAUUAAUUGAUAAGCAGCAGCUUCCUACAUAUAGUAGGAGACUGCCACAUUUUGCUAUCAUGAUUGGCUGGGCCUGCUGCUGUUCCUAGUAAGAUAUUCUGAAUUCCAUUUUAUCAAUAAAGCUUGAUUUAACAAACAAGAAAUUAAA
Pteronotus mesoamericanus is the source of this 2430-nucleotide RNA transcript. It is a transcript of the gene named protein phosphatase, Mg2+/Mn2+ dependent 1A, with no coding region annotated. Lineage: Eukaryota; Metazoa; Chordata; Mammalia; Chiroptera; Mormoopidae. The transcript has 7 exons. The record is from RefSeq and is a predicted model, not a curated record.